CCCUAGUAACUGCGAGUGAAGCGGGAAAAGCUCAAAUUUAGAAUCUGGUGGUCUUAGACUAUCCGAGUUGUAAUCUAGAGAAGUGUUAUCCGCGUUGGACCGUGUACAAGUCUCCUGGAAUGGAGCGUCAUAGAGGGUGAGAAUCCCGUCUUUGACACGGACUGCCAGGGCUUUGUGAUGCGCUCUCAAAGAGUCGAGUUGUUUGGGAAUGCAGCUCAAAAUGGGUGGUAAAUUCCAUCUAAAGCUAAAUAUUGGCGAGAGACCGAUAGCGAACAAGUACCGUGAGGGAAAGAUGAAAAGAACUUUGGAAAGAGAGUUAAACAGUACGUGAAAUUGCUGAAAGGGAAACGCUUGAAGUCAGUCGCGUUGUCCGGAAAUCAACCUUGCUUUUGCUGGGUGUACUUUCUGGUUAACGGGUCAGCAUCAAUUUUGAUCGUUGGAUAAAGUCUAGGGGAAUGUGGCAUCUUCGGAUGUGUUAUAGCCCUUGGUCGCAUACAACGGUUGGGAUUGAGGAACUCAGCACGCCGCAAGGCCGAGUAUUUAUACUACGUUCGUGCUUAGGAUGCUGGCAUAAUGGCUUUAAUCGACCCGUCUUGAAACACGGACCAAGGAGUCUAACAUGCCUGCAAGUGUUUGGGUGGAAAACCCGAGCGCGUAAUGAAAGUGAAAGUUGAGAUCCCUGUCGUGGGGAGCAUCGACGCCCGGACUUGACCUUUUGUGACGGAUCCGCGGUAGAGCAUGUAUGUUGGGACCC
Molecule: ribosomal RNA, 754 nt
Filed under: Galerina pseudocerina
Lineage: Eukaryota; Fungi; Basidiomycota; Agaricomycetes; Agaricales; Galerinaceae
Description: eukaryotic LSU rRNA
Rfam family: Eukaryotic large subunit ribosomal RNA
Source: RNAcentral